AACGUAGGAGGCAAGCGUUAUCCGGAUUUACUGGGCGUAAAGCGCAUGUAGGCGGUCUUGUAAGUUGGAUGUGAAAGCUCCUGGCUUAACUGGGAGAGGUCGUUCAAUACUGCGAGACUAGAGAGUGAUAGAGGAAGAUGGAAUUCCGGGUGUAGUGGUGAAAUGCGUAGAUAUCCGGAGGAACACCAGUGGCGAAAGCGGUCUUCUGGAUCACUUCUGACGCUCAGAUGCGAAAGCUAAGGUAGCAAACGGGAUUAGAGACCCCGGUAGUCUUAGCUGUAAACGAUGUAGACUUGGCGUUGGUGGGUUCAAAUCCAUCAGUGCCGGAGCAAACGCGGUAAGUCUACCGCCUGGGGACUACGGCCGCAAGGUUAAA
RNAcentral lists this ribosomal RNA (376 nucleotides) under uncultured bacterium. Its description in RNAcentral is "bacterial SSU rRNA". It matches the Rfam family "Bacterial small subunit ribosomal RNA", at positions 524 to 898 of the family's 1533-position model. The record is from RNAcentral.